This 317-nucleotide ribosomal RNA is filed under the name uncultured Chloroflexota bacterium. RNAcentral's name for it is "bacterial SSU rRNA". It matches the Rfam family "Bacterial small subunit ribosomal RNA", at positions 28 to 351 of the family's 1533-position model. The record is from RNAcentral. Lineage: Bacteria; Bacillati; Chloroflexota.
GAUGAACGCUGGCGGCGUGCCUAAUACAUGCAAGUCGAACGGACGAUCGCAAGAUCGUUAGUGGCGAACGGGUGAGUAACGCGUUGGUGACCUGCCCUAUAGUGGGGGAUACCAGACCGAAAGGUCUGCUAAUACCGCAUGAGCUCGGGAGAGACUAGAAAUUUCCGAGGAAAGCCGAAAGGCGCUAAAGGAGGGGCCUGCGUCCCAUCAGCUAGUUGGUAAGGUAAUGGCUUACCAAGGCGAUGACGGGUAGGGGACCUGAGAGGGUGGCCCCCCACAAUGGAACUGAAACACGGUCCAUACACCUACGGUGGCAG